Pangasius djambal is the source of this 73-nucleotide non-coding RNA. NCBI's taxonomy places the organism in Eukaryota, Metazoa, Chordata, Actinopteri, Siluriformes, Pangasiidae. The record is from the annotation of a GenBank genome assembly.
CAGUGGUUGGGCAGUGGUUAGGACGUUGGGCUACUGAUCGGAAGGUCAUGAGUUCAAGCCCCAGCACCAUCGA